GAAAAAAUCUGGACCGGUCUUCCAGAGAGUGAGGGCAGCGGUCCGAGUGCUUUAAGUGCCAGUGACAGAGUCCUGGGCAAAGCGGUGCCCUCCAGAACCGCUGGUCUCUGCCGAGCCUGUGUGACCGUGGCUGAGGACCCCUGGCCCUGGAGGAGGACCUGCCCCUAUUCCAGGUGGAAAUGAGGUUGUCCGCCACCGUGCUGGCCAGUGAGGAAUGCCCAACGUGACUGGCAGUGGCCGGGGCCUGUGUGGCCCCACAUGAGGACAUCCGAUCCCGUGCAGGCCACUGGAGGAACUCUGGACUUGGCAGCAUGGUGGAGAGCUCAGAAGUUCCUCCUCUCCGCUUCACCAAUGAUGAAUCCAAGGCACCAUGAAGGGGAAGCCUCAGUUCCUCAUCCAUAGAAUGGGGGUAAAAACAGGACCUACUGAGCCGGGCAUGGAGGUACACACCUGUGAUCCCAGCACUAAGAAAGCUGAGGCAGGAGGACCACAAGUUCAAGGCCAGCCUGAACUGCACAUUACUGAAGAUGAUCAAGUGUGGUACAGAAACUCCCUCACCCUCAAGGUGAAGGUGAACAUCAAGGUUUGACUGAAAAGCAGCAGAGAAACUGGAUGAACAUACUCAGGUGUCCCUUUCCACCUGAGAAGCUGCUGUUGCAUCACCAGGUAACUUAGACAUGGUGGAAGGUUUGUUUUUGUUUUGUUUUUGGUACCGGGGAUUGAACUCGGGUCCUUGUGCUUGCGAGGCAGGUGGCAGAACCACUGAGCUAAAUCUCCAGCCCCAGUGGAAGGUUUGAUGCAGAAAAUCCUAUCUUCAGCUCUGAGAUUUUCAAAUGUGCCUGAGGAUGGACUCAAUCCAUGAAUCACGGAC
RNAcentral lists this long non-coding RNA (871 nucleotides) under Heterocephalus glaber (naked mole-rat). RNAcentral's name for it is "lncRNA (ENSHGLG00100046709.1)". Lineage: Eukaryota; Metazoa; Chordata; Mammalia; Rodentia; Bathyergidae. The record is from RNAcentral.